RNAcentral lists this long non-coding RNA (460 nucleotides) under Bos taurus (domestic cattle). RNAcentral describes it as "long non-coding RNA NONBTAT020468". Lineage: Eukaryota; Metazoa; Chordata; Mammalia; Artiodactyla; Bovidae. The record is from RNAcentral.
AAAAUAAAUCAUUGGCUCUUAAAUGUGCAUAACAGAAUACUGAUGUGUAGUUAGUGUCACAAACAUGUCUCAAAAUUUGGAUAAGUGUGAAGACAUUUUAUUUUCUACAAUGGAGAACACAUACUUUAGCAAUGUCUAUCAGCAACUGAUGUGAGCAAGUCAUACAACACAGGUACUAUUUGCAGCCAGUAAGAUACAUAGGCUACAAUAAAUGAGAGAUGAGAGAAACCAAAGAAGAUUUUGUAUUUACUAAGACAAACCCAAAAAUGUCUGAUGUUAAGGACAUGAGAAAGAAUGACAGGGUAGUAAACAGUUCUAUUCAAACAGCAGUAUAACAUUAAACGCUACCAAGGGAACAGUGUAAUGCAUUUCAAAUAUAUUGCUCCCAAAUUCUAGUAUUUAGAAAUGUGACAAGAACAUAAAUAGGAGCCACCAGGAAGAACAUGAAACGUAUCUAGAC